Molecule: long non-coding RNA, 1423 nt
Organism: Erinaceus europaeus (western European hedgehog)
Lineage: Eukaryota; Metazoa; Chordata; Mammalia; Eulipotyphla; Erinaceidae
Exons: 2
Source: RefSeq, a predicted model, not a curated record
CACUGGGGCUCAGACUGGAGUGAAGGAGACAGACAUCCACAGACAGGUGCAGGGGCCACAUGGGUGACAGACUGCGCUGGGAGCUGGGAAAGGAGCAGGGGUCUGUGCACUGGGUGGUCAGAGAGGGGUGUCUGAGGAAGUGUGUCUAGGUAGGGCUGAGCACUUAAACAGGAGGGAGGGAAAUGCAGGCAGAAGUCACGUGUCUGCGUCAUACCCUGUAAGGAGAGAGAGAAGUAGAGGCAGUAUGUAGGGUCACUGAGGCAGGCACAGGUCACACUUUGGGCUCGAUGCCAAGGACACUGGGCACAUGUGGAGAAUAGAGAGCAGAGCAGCAUUGUUGCCCAGCCACCGACUGAAGGGGACUCUGGUUCCUGACUGACUGGCUGAGGGGAGCAGGGGCAGGAUGUCCCUCUAGGGGCAGGCCACCCUCCAAAGCAGCAAGCACUGCCCACUGGUGAUCCAGUGAUGUGGGGCUAUGCAGCCACAGUUGCUGGGCCCCGUGUGGGUGUGGUGAUCAUCACAGUGCUUCUCAGUAAGUAAACACAGCGAGUUAAUACGUUAACCACACAGCUAAUUCAGCCUUUUAAACAGAAGAGCUGACUGGGCCCCUCACAGCUGCUGAGAGUGAGUCAACCUGCUUGUUUGCUAGGACAGACUUGAUUCCUGAGGCAGUCUGCUUCCUGUGGUCCCAUCAGCAAACAAGCAACACAGACCACAGGGGAGGCCAGAAUUACAGUUGUUCACUAUUGGAUCAGCUGCAUAAGCUCUUACCACAAAGCAGCAGCUGGAGUCACAGAUGGUCUGGUGGAUGAGGACCACGCGCACUGUUGGCCCAGUUCUGUGGCAUCUUCGACAGGACAGGAUGCAAUGAGAGGAAGCCGGCUUUUCAAAGAAGAAUCAGUUACAGCUGCACAAUGACUUCCUUUUUUUCUUUAUUGCCACUGAGGUCAUCGAUGAGGCCUGGUACCUGCAAGGUGAAUCCACCACUCCUGGCAGCCACUUUUUCCUUUUCUUUUUACAUAACAGGACAGAGAGACAUUGAGAGGCAUGUUGGGGGGUGAUAAAGAUUCAGAGACACCUGCAGCCCAGAUUCACCACUCGUGAAAGUUUCCCCACUGUGGGAGGGCUCGGGUGUGGAACUCAGGUCCUUGCGCAUGGUGAGGUGUGUUCAGUCAGGUGUGCCACCGCCUGGCCCCUGCACGGGUGUUGGUAUGUUUCAUAUUGAUUUGCUCUCCUUCCCCCUGACCUCUGAGAGAAUUGGUUUGGCCCUUGCUAGUUUCAUGCCCCGCUUUCUCCCUGUCCCCUAUGCUAAGGAUGUCCAGAGUCCCAGCAGGAGCUGGUGAGGGAGAAAGAUGGGGAAACACAUGGUGUGGUGAUUUGCCCACUCGUGAAUAAAGAUUAAACUGCAGCUUCUUGGCCCAGC